AGUGAACGCUGGCGGUAGGCCUAACACAUGCAAGUCGAACGGCAGCACAGUAAGAGCUUGCUCUUACGGGUGGCGAGUGGCGGACGGGUGAGGAAUACAUCGGAAUCUACUUUUUCGUGGGGGAUAACGUAGGGAAACUUACGCUAAUACCGCAUACGACCUACGGGUGAAAGCAGGGGAUCUUCGGACCUUGCGCGAUUGAAUGAGCCGAUGUCGGAUUAGCUAGUUGGCGGGGUAAAGGCCCACCAAGGCGACGAUCCGUAGCUGGUCUGAGAGGAUGAUCAGCCACACUGGAACUGAGACACGGUCCAGACUCCUACGGGAGGCAGCAGUGGGGAAUAUUGGACAAUGGGCGAAAGCCUGAUCCAGCCAUACCGCGUGGGUGAAGAAGGCCUUCGGGUUGUAAAGCACUUUUGUUGGGAAAGAAAAGCAGCAGGUUAAUACCUCGCUGUUCUGACGGUACCAAAAGAAUAAGCACCGGCUAACUUCGUG
This 492-nucleotide ribosomal RNA is filed under the name uncultured bacterium. RNAcentral's name for it is "partial 16S ribosomal RNA". It matches the Rfam family "Bacterial small subunit ribosomal RNA", at positions 29 to 507 of the family's 1533-position model. The record is from RNAcentral.